Molecule: transfer RNA, 75 nt
Filed under: Streptomyces sporangiiformans
Lineage: Bacteria; Bacillati; Actinomycetota; Actinomycetes; Kitasatosporales; Streptomycetaceae
Description: Streptomyces sp. NEAU-SSA 1 tRNA-Met
Rfam family: tRNA
About the family: Transfer RNA (tRNA) molecules are approximately 80 nucleotides in length. Their secondary structure includes four short double-helical elements and three loops (D, anti-codon, and T loops). Further hydrogen bonds mediate the characteristic L-shaped molecular structure. tRNAs have two regions of fundamental functional importance: the anti-codon, which is responsible for specific mRNA codon recognition, and the 3' end, to which the tRNAs corresponding amino acid is attached (by aminoacyl-tRNA synthetases). tRNAs cope with the degeneracy of the genetic code in two manners: having more than one tRNA (with a specific anti-codon) for a particular amino acid; and 'wobble' base-pairing, i.e. permitting non-standard base-pairing at the 3rd anti-codon position.
Source: RNAcentral
CGCGGGGUGGAGCAGCUCGGUAGCUCGCUGGGCUCAUAACCCAGAGGUGUCAGUUCAAAUCUGGCCCCCCGACCA